GCCAGAGUGGUGAAAUUGGUAGACACAGGGGACUCAAAAUCCCCCGCCCUUAAAAGCGUGCCGGUUCGAAUCCGGCCUCUGGUACCA
This 87-nucleotide transfer RNA is filed under the name Porticoccaceae bacterium. RNAcentral describes it as "tRNA-Leu". It matches the Rfam family "tRNA". From Rfam's summary of the family: Transfer RNA (tRNA) molecules are approximately 80 nucleotides in length. Their secondary structure includes four short double-helical elements and three loops (D, anti-codon, and T loops). Further hydrogen bonds mediate the characteristic L-shaped molecular structure. tRNAs have two regions of fundamental functional importance: the anti-codon, which is responsible for specific mRNA codon recognition, and the 3' end, to which the tRNAs corresponding amino acid is attached (by aminoacyl-tRNA synthetases). tRNAs cope with the degeneracy of the genetic code in two manners: having more than one tRNA (with a specific anti-codon) for a particular amino acid; and 'wobble' base-pairing, i.e. permitting non-standard base-pairing at the 3rd anti-codon position. Lineage: Bacteria; Pseudomonadati; Pseudomonadota; Gammaproteobacteria; Cellvibrionales; Porticoccaceae. The record is from RNAcentral.